CAUCACCACCAGCCUCGACGGGCUGCAGAGCCUGUCGCUGGCCAAGAUCACGGUCCACCACCGCGGCCACCGGGGCUCCGUCUCCGUCCUCGGCGGCACCUACAACACCAAGCCAUCAGACUACCCGGUGGUCGGUGGCACCGGCGACUUCGCGUACGCGCUAGGAUACGUCCGGUCGUCGCCGUUGGACUUGCGGGGACGGACGGUGACGUACAAGAUGGAGCUUCACUUGUACUGGCCU
This 241-nucleotide long non-coding RNA is filed under the name Sorghum bicolor (sorghum). RNAcentral describes it as "long non-coding RNA (SBIC_LNC005805)". The record is from RNAcentral. Lineage: Eukaryota; Viridiplantae; Streptophyta; Magnoliopsida; Poales; Poaceae.